Molecule: ribosomal RNA, 360 nt
Filed under: Triticum aestivum (bread wheat)
Lineage: Eukaryota; Viridiplantae; Streptophyta; Magnoliopsida; Poales; Poaceae
Description: partial small subunit ribosomal RNA
Source: RNAcentral
AUGGCCUCCUUUUCCUCCGCCUCUGUGCUCGCUCUGACGAUCAUGGCGGUGCUCGUCGCCGGUGCCCGGUGCAGCACCUCGGGCAAGGUUGGCUUCGCACUCACGAAGGGUUCCAGCCCCACCAAUCUCAUCGUGGCCGCCAAGUCCUUUGGCGGCACUACCGACGACUUCUCCAAGAUGCAGGUCAAGGGGCAGGGCUCGGACAAGUGGAUUGACAUGAGCAAUGCGGGGAGCUCCGGCAAGGGGAACUCCGUCUGGAAGGCCGUAUCCUCUACCGCACUCAAGGCCCCUCUCGCCAUCCGUUACCAGACAAAGCAGGGCACGACUGUUGUGAAUGACGACGCCAUCCAUUCAUUUUAG